GGUUCUUUGAACAUAAAAUUAAGAAUCUGACCUGCCCGGUGAUGUAGUAAACGGCCGCGGUAAAUUAACCGUGCUAAGGUAGCAUAAUCAAUUGUCUAUUAAUUGUAGACUGGAAUGAAUGGUUUGACUUAAAACUAAUUGUCUUAACUAUAAGUUGAAUUUUUUAUUUUUGUGAGGAGACAAAAAUGAGUCAGCAAGACGAGAAGACCCUAUUGAGCUUUAUAAAUAAAUGACUAAUUAGGUGUAAGGAUAAAAAAGUUAAGAUUUUAUUUUGCUGGGGCGGUAAAGGUAUAGAAUAACUAUUUUUUAUUUAAAUAAUAAUAUUUAAUUUUUGAUCCAGUAUAUUGAUUAGAAGACUAAGUUACUGUAGGGAUAACAGCGUGAUUUCUUUUUGGAGAUCAAAUUUAUGAAGAAGGUUGCGACCUCGAUGUUGGUUUAGGAUACCUUUUAGGUGAAGUAGCUUAAAAAGGUGGUUUGUUCAACUAUUAAAUUCCUAUUA
RNAcentral lists this ribosomal RNA (499 nucleotides) under Newportia oreina. RNAcentral describes it as "partial small subunit ribosomal RNA". It matches the Rfam family "Bacterial large subunit ribosomal RNA", at positions 1819 to 2601 of the family's 2925-position model. Lineage: Eukaryota; Metazoa; Arthropoda; Chilopoda; Scolopendromorpha; Scolopocryptopidae. The record is from RNAcentral.